Molecule: long non-coding RNA, 374 nt
Organism: Pan troglodytes (chimpanzee)
Lineage: Eukaryota; Metazoa; Chordata; Mammalia; Primates; Hominidae
Exons: 3
Source: RefSeq, a predicted model, not a curated record
GCCCUGAACCCAGAGCCCACCCACGGAGCCAUGCGUCCACCCUCCCAGAACCCAGACCCCACCCACAGAGCCAUGCGUCCACCCUCCCCGGGCACCUCACCUUUGUUCCAGGGGUUGAGCGCUGAGGAGAGGACAAACACAAUCUAAGAUACGAGGAGAAGGAGCACCUUGCCCCGGCUUCUACCUGCUUGGCGUUGCCAACCCAGAAGGUCACAGAGUGGAAGUGGAGGAAUCGGCCUCUCUCAGGCUGCAGAAGGAGAGAAGAGCUUAAAAGGAAAAAAUCUUCUGCAGAAGGAACAUGAUUCACCAGGUGGUUACCUCUGGAGGCAGCACACUUUUUCAAAAUAAUUAAAAUAAUGUUAACACAAACUAAA